UACGGAGGGUGCGAGCGUUGUCCGGAAUCACUGGGCGUAAAGGGCGCGUAGGUGGCGCGGGCAGUCAACGGUGAAAGUUCGGGGCUCAACCCUGAAUCGGCCGUCGAUACUCCCGUGCUUGAGCACUGUAGAGGCAGAUGGAAUUCCGGGUGUAGCGGUGGAAUGCGUAGAGAUCCGGAAGAACACCGGUGGCGAAGGCGGUCUGCUGGGCAGUAGCUGACACUGAGGCGCGACAGCGUGGGGAGGCAACAGG
RNAcentral lists this ribosomal RNA (253 nucleotides) under uncultured bacterium. Its description in RNAcentral is "partial 16S ribosomal RNA". It matches the Rfam family "Bacterial small subunit ribosomal RNA", at positions 524 to 776 of the family's 1533-position model. The record is from RNAcentral.